ACUUUCAGCAGUGAGGAAGGUGGAUAUGUUAAUAGCAUAUUCAUUUUGACGUUAGCUGCAGAAGAAGCACCGGCUAACUCCGUGCCAGCAGCCGCGGUAAUACGGAGGGUGCGAGCGUUAAUCGGAAUUACUGGGCGUAAAGCGCAUGCAGGUGGUUUGUUAAGUCAGAUGUGAAAGCCCGGGGCUCAACCUCGGAAUUGCAUUUGAAACUGGCAAACUAGAGUACUGUAGAGGGGGUAGGAAUUUCAGGUGUAGCGGUGAAAUGCGUAGAGAUCUGAAGGAAUACCGGUGGCGAAGGACGGCCCCCUCGGACAGAUACUGACACUCAGAUGCGAAAGCGUGGGGAGCAAACAGGAUUAGAUACCCUGGUAG
RNAcentral lists this ribosomal RNA (372 nucleotides) under uncultured bacterium. Its description in RNAcentral is "bacterial SSU rRNA". It matches the Rfam family "Bacterial small subunit ribosomal RNA", at positions 432 to 793 of the family's 1533-position model. The record is from RNAcentral.